This 454-nucleotide unclassified non-coding RNA is filed under the name Hevea brasiliensis (rubber tree). Lineage: Eukaryota; Viridiplantae; Streptophyta; Magnoliopsida; Malpighiales; Euphorbiaceae. The record is from RNAcentral.
UACCCCCUUAAAGAUAGCCAGAAAAAGCCACAAGCAUGCCUUUCAUACAUAACAUUACAUGCUUUUCUUAACCCUAAUAGCCCUCAACUUGCACCAACUCACUUCUACUUGGUAGCUGAUUGUUAAGGAGUGUAUUGGGUGUAUAAAUAGAAGGUGCAGAUUGAAAGCCAUUAAGGGGAAAGGAAUAAAAGGGUAUAAAGGUAUCAAAAGCCAAUCGGCAAUGAUCGUAGGCUUGGAGCAGUGUGUAUAUAACUAUGCAUAAAUAAGCUUUAGUCCCUGUAACUAUUUCUUGUAUUUUGUGAAGAGAAGAAACACCACUCAGGAGAGCUUUAGGGGGAGAAGGAUUUUCUCUCCACUGAAAAUGUUAGGUCAUCAUGACUUUUGGUUUAGUAGGCAAUAAUUUGUGGACAUACAUAAUGACUUUCGCAUUGUUUUUUUUUUUCUUUUUUUUUUU